RNAcentral lists this transfer RNA (88 nucleotides) under bacterium. RNAcentral's name for it is "tRNA-Leu". It matches the Rfam family "tRNA". Rfam says of the family: Transfer RNA (tRNA) molecules are approximately 80 nucleotides in length. Their secondary structure includes four short double-helical elements and three loops (D, anti-codon, and T loops). The record is from RNAcentral. RNAcentral also lists the same sequence under 3 other names.
GCGGGGGUAGCCAAGCCUGGUCAACGGCGCCGGCUUGAGGGGCCGGUCCCGUAGGGGUGCCUGGGUUCAAAUCCCAGCCCCCGCACCA